Molecule: ribosomal RNA, 236 nt
Filed under: uncultured Anaerolineaceae bacterium
Lineage: Bacteria; Bacillati; Chloroflexota; Anaerolineae; Anaerolineales; Anaerolineaceae
Description: partial 16S ribosomal RNA
Rfam family: Bacterial small subunit ribosomal RNA
Source: RNAcentral
CCGGUCGAUAAACCGGAGGAAGGUGGGGAUGACGUCAAGUCAGCAUGGCCUUUAUAUCCUGGGGCUACACACACGCUACAAUGGGAAGGGACAAUAGGUUGCGAAGCCGCGAGGCGGAGCCAAUCCAGCAAAACUUCCCUCAGUUCAGAUUGCAGGCUGCAACUCGCCUGCAUGAAGUUGGAGUUGCUAGUAAACGCAGGUCCAGCCAUACUGCGUUGAAUACGUUCCCGGGGCUU